This 253-nucleotide ribosomal RNA is filed under the name uncultured bacterium. RNAcentral's name for it is "partial 16S ribosomal RNA". It matches the Rfam family "Bacterial small subunit ribosomal RNA", at positions 524 to 776 of the family's 1533-position model. The record is from RNAcentral.
CACGAAGGGGGCUAGCGUUGUUCGGAAUGACUGGGCGUAAAGGGCGCGUAGGCGGCUCUAUUUGUCAGGCGUGAAAGGCCCGGGCUUAACCUGGGACGUGCGUUUGAGACGGUAGGGCUUGAGGGUGAGAGAGGAUGGCGGAAUUCCCAGUGGAGAGGUAAAAUUCGUAGAGAUUGGGAAGAACACCAGCGGCGAAGGCGGCCAUCUGGAUCACAACUGACGCUGAGGCGCGAAAGCGUGGGGAGCAAACAGG